GACGAACGCUGGCGGCGUGCCUAACACAUGCAAGUCGAGCGGAGUUGACAAGAGGAAGUUUUCGGAUGGAAUCUUGCCAGCUUAGCGGCGGACGGGUGAGUAACGCGUGAGCGACCAACCUUGCACAGGGGGAUAACGGACCGAAAGGUUCACUAAUACCGCAUGAGACCACGGUGUUGCAUGACACAGGGGUCAAAGGAGGAAUCCGGUGCAAGACGGGCUCGCGUCCGAUUAGGUAGUUGGAGGGGUAACGGCCCACCAAGCCUAUGAUCGGUAGCCGACCUGAGAGGGUGAUCGGCCACAUUGGAACUGAGAUACGGUCCAAACUCCUACGGGAGGCAGCAGUGGGGAAUAUUGGGUAAUGGGGGAAACCCUGACCCAGCAACGCCGCGUGAAGGAAGAAGGUUUUCGGAUUGUAAACUUCUGUCCUUGGUGAAGAGAAGAAGACAGUAGCCAAGGAGGAAGCCCCGGCUAACUACGUGCCAGCAGCCGCGGUAA
RNAcentral lists this ribosomal RNA (498 nucleotides) under uncultured bacterium. RNAcentral describes it as "partial 16S ribosomal RNA". It matches the Rfam family "Bacterial small subunit ribosomal RNA", at positions 28 to 523 of the family's 1533-position model. The record is from RNAcentral.